GUACAUCAUCCAGCUGCACUCAGCCAUGCAAUGUAAAUGGACGAUCGCAGCCAUCGUGGCCCUUUGCCUCGUCCCCAGCCUGGCGUCACCCUGGCCUUCCCCAGAGCCCGCUGCUGCGCCUUCCCCAAGGCCCGCCGCCUUGGCUCUCCCUCGCCCCAGCCCCGUUCCGGAUCCCAUCCCUGCGCCAGACCCCUUUCUAGGAUUAUUUGGACGGGGUCGUGGGCGGGGUCGUGGGCGGGGUCGCGGGCGAGGUCGUGGCCGAGGACGCGGAGGCGGUGGCUUUGGUCUCGGGAGACUUUUCGGUUGAGGCUGACUGGGUUUCGGACGAUCCUUCGCGGACGCGUAGCUAGAAGUUAACAAGUCAGCGUUGUAUUUCAUGUUAAUAAAGCCACAGUGACAG
Molecule: long non-coding RNA, 400 nt
Organism: Penaeus monodon (black tiger shrimp)
Lineage: Eukaryota; Metazoa; Arthropoda; Malacostraca; Decapoda; Penaeidae
Exons: 2
Source: RefSeq, a predicted model, not a curated record